Molecule: non-coding RNA, 8065 nt
Organism: Oryctolagus cuniculus (rabbit)
Lineage: Eukaryota; Metazoa; Chordata; Mammalia; Lagomorpha; Leporidae
Source: RefSeq, a predicted model, not a curated record
GCUAGGGCCACCUUCGUAGGCCUGCUUACUGCUCUGCUCCAGUGUGGACCCACAUAGGACCAACUUCCAGUGCAGCAGUGUCUGGUUAGGCUGCCCUGUCUUUGACCUCUGCCUCCCAGCUCAGCCUCAGCUCCAGCUGCUGAUCGCUCUUACAGCAGCCGGGUCGCAGCAGGUCCCUGCUGAAUUACGCUCACCUCUUACUGAAUCUUUGAACGCCCCACACCCUCACUGCAUAUGAUUCAAAUCUGAAGUCUCUGCUUAGACAUCGCUCCCUUGAGGGAAAGGCCCUUGACCCAGAGACUCAGGCCCCAAUACUCUUUCUUGAAGCUCCCUGUACUCAAUGUGUAAAUAUGUACACUUCUAUAGUAACUCUGAUUUCCCUCAUUGUCUGACCGUGCCUCUUGCUUGAUAAUUUCGGGAGCACAGCGUCUUUGCUCUCCUGCCUGCCGCGCUCUGACGUCUAACGCACUGCAUAAUGCCGCCCAGGAAAGGAACAGGACAAGGGGAGGGGACCCGGAGGACAUGGCUUCUCACUGUCACCUGAUCUGGCCACACACUGCUUUUCAGACUCUUCUCAGUUCGCAAUUCCCAUGUUUGGCUCCUCACAGACGCUGCCCGCCUUUGACUGUUUCCAGCAGAUGUGAUGACCAAUCCUCCUCAGCAGCCUAGUGAGCCCAUGACUAUCAGCAGCCAAAGGCUUCUGAGCCAGCUGCGCCCCACCCCCACCCUCCUGGCGCCAAGGUGAUGAGAUUCCCUGCCUCUAUGACACCAUAAUCCUCUUUAUGAGCAGUGACUGGCUGGCUGACUCACUAGUGCCCCCUGCUGGCCACAUAGUCUGAUUUCACGCCAUUUUUUCUUUUCUCAAACAAAAAGAAAAAUUCUUUACGUUUAGAUCCUUGAACCACUUUAAGUUGAUUUUUAAAUAGGGCAUAAAGCAAGGGUCUCAUUUGAAAUUUCUGCAGGUGGAGAACCUAUUUUCUCCACAUCAUUUAAUCUAAAUGGUGCUAUUAUUUAUUGAAUAAUAAGUAGUGUGGUUAUUUCUUUCUCCAAGGAAUAUUUUUAGCACAUUUGUCAAAGAUUAGUUGGUUGUAGCACCUUGAACUUCUGGGAGAUUUCUCAAAAUGUUGAAUUUCCCCUUUAUUGGCCUUUGAAGGUUAGAGAUGAGCAGCGUUGGCCAAGUGGGUCCUCAGGAGAAUGGACACAGUGCAAUGGUCUCAGGCCAUUUGGGCAAGGAUUUCUGAGGUCCUGGAAUGAGGAUGACAAGAGCUCUGGGCCUGUGCAUUGGAGCUAUGGGCUCGUCAUCCUGUGGGAAGGCUCAUGAGUGAGAGAGCCAGAAAGAGACUCUGAAGUGUGGAUCCAGGGCAGGGAGCCCAGCCGCUGAGACUUAGAGCAGUACUCUUAGAACGUGUGAACUGUGCUCCUAUUCCAUAGCAACAAUCCAAGAAUUUCUUUGUCUACCUGACUUCUUCAGGUGGCCAUGCUUAGAGUCAUCCCUAAAAGCUGUUCUCAGGAAAACGCCUGGAGUCCUUCCCAUCUCCAAAAGUGUCCAGCAUUUUAGUUUAGAUGGAGGCUUUGAUCUGUAAGAAAUAAGCUGCUUCUGAGACGAAUACAGGGCAGGAGAACGAGAGAGAGAGGUAUAAAUGGCAGUGUGCCUAUAAAGAAGUGUUUAUACAAAACUAAAAGAAUGUCAACCAGAAUAUCAUGAGAGCCUGGCAUUUCCAUGGCAAAUUGCCAAAAUUCACUGAUUGCUGAUGCAUAUGUUAUGAUGCGAAUAUUCUCAUGUCCUCUUAGUGAGAUUUUACUUUACAAAUAUUUGAUGGAAUAUUAUUAUAGCUAAAAGAAGUGUGGAGUCUGUUGGUAGAUGAUAUGCAAAGUUCUUUAAGCUGUGUGUGACAUGGUAAAAGCAAGAAACAAUAUAUGAGUAUAUUCCCUUUCUUAUAAAAACUCUGAAUGCAGUAAGGUACAUAGAAACUAAGUUAAACAUAUGUGUUAGUAUAUACAUGAACAUUUCCUAUAUAUCACACACAUGCACUUUACACAUGAACACACACAUGCACACAUGGAUAUGUUACCAGAGGGAAGGCCGUGGAAGCCGUGGGUUCUUGUCUUCACGCAAGAAAGAAUUCAGGCGUGAGACAGUAGAGUGAUAAGGCUUUAUUGGGGAUAGGGCAUCCAUCAGAACGCAAGGGACAGAGAGAGAGCACCCAGUCACUCUCUCUGCGGGAGAGCGAGGUUACAUGGUUGAGUGGAGAGAAUACACCUGGGCAGGCCAGGCGGGUGGCUCAGCAGAGAGGCAGAGGGCUGAGUACAUAGUAUGUUUGCACUCCCUAGGUUUUAAGGCCUGGGCAGAGUAGGGGGGGCUUCCCUUAGGGCAUCUGAGAAGGUUUUAUUGCCCCAUGUUGUCAGGUAACCCCUUUGGUCCUGAGGAGAGAGAAUUCCCCUGGGAGCUUUCCUUGGGGAAGGGCUGGGGCCACCUGGGAGGUCAUCAGGGUCUGGGCAGGACUUUGAAGUGCAAGGUGCUGGGCUUCUGGAGCUUCCACAGUAGGUGUGGGUCUUCAGGCCCUUCUCAUACACAAAUAGGCUCAAUUUCUGACUUCCUACCUAACAGAUACACACACUGCAUACAUAAAUACACAUACACCACCCAGGGCCCUUUGUGCUGCUGGUCUGUCUUCUCCAAGAUAUCCCCAUGACUAACUCCCUCCCUACUUCAAGUCCUUACUUAGAUAUUACUUUCUCAAUGAGGUACCCCCCCAUCUUCCCAAUUAAAAUGAUAAUCUUCCCCUUUGUUUUCCACUUUAAUUAUCUUUAUACAGACCCAUUUUGUUUUCCUUUGGGAGUAAUUUCACAUAUAUGCACAGUAUAAUGUCUUUAUUUUCUAUAUCUUUGUGUAUUGUCUUUGUUCUUGAAUUAAAAUGUCAUCUCCAGGGGUGCAGAAGAAUAAGAUCCUCCAGCCAUAGUUACCCCACAGAUACAUCAAUGUGAAUGCAUUUCAUGCACUAAAGCAAUCAGGGAAGAGAUCACAAUUCCUGGGUCUUACAUAAUCAUAAGAAAGGGUGCGUUGAGGCUGGUGCCAUGGCUCACUUGGUUAAUCCUCCACCUGCGGCGCCAGCAUCCCAUAUAGGCACUGGGUUCUAGUCCCGGUUGCUCCUCUUCCAGUCCUGCUCUCUGCUGUGGCCUGGGAGGGCAGUGGAGGAUGGCCCAAGUGCUUGGGCCCCUGCACCCACAUGGGAGACCAGGAGGAAGCACCUGGCUCCUGGCUUCGGAUCAGCACAGCAUAGGCCAUGGCGGCCAUUUGGGGAGUGAACCAAUGGAAGGAAGACCUUUCUCUCUGUCUCUCUCACUGUUUAUUUAUUUAUUUAAUUAAAUAAAUACAUUUAAAAAACAAAGGAAAGGAUGUGUUGAAAAAGGCAGACUUGGCAGGAUUGCCCACAUCACUGCCCUGCUUUUUCAAUUCCAAAAAGCAGAGUAUGGAGAGUAAGCAGGAGGGAGAAGACAUUAAUUCCAUACCUCAGACUUGCAACCCAGUUCCCUUCCUGCCACACUGAAAUCCAAUAGUAGAGAGAGCCCUGUAGAGCCUACCUUGAGGCCCAUGCACCCAGUUUGAACCUCUGUACCCUCGUUAGCCUGGGCAGGUGCUUCAUCCACAACCCUUUCCCCAACAUCAGACAGCAGAGUAUGGAGAAAGAUUCCAUCUGCUAAGAAGUGAGAUGGAAUUUAGUACUGGGUCAUCGAAAUGAAACACCAAGGGGAUUCCACUGGUCUCUGUGAACAUGUCCUGGUCCCUAGCAGAGACCUGCAGCUCUGGUUGAACAAAACUAUAUUCCAGCCAGAAUCACCUGUGGCUGCCUGCAGUGGUCUUGGAUCACAAUUUCCCCACCAUCACAGCAGGCAGGCCAUACAAAUGAGGGCCUUGGUCCUGCCACCGUGCUGCACUGAUGCUGGAGGUCUCUGGGCUCUGGGUGUGACCAGGAUUGUGGCACUGGUACCUGUGGAACUGCCCACCUUGUCCCUUUCCCAAGCUCAGACAGAAUAACACAGAGUCAUUGUCUUCUUGGGGAAAUAAGAGGGAGGGAGACACCAAAUUGCUGUCAAAUGCUUGGGGCCAGUUCCUCCAUGGUGAAGGCUGGUAUUGAGAGAAAUGCUCUAGCACCUGAACAGAGGCUGGUGACUAUGAAUGAGACAUCAAGGCCUGCCCUGGCCCCAGGCAGACACAAGCAGGAAGAGUCUGUCUUUUUAUUUUAUUCAUUUGUUUUUAAAGAUUUUUUUUUUCAAUUUGAGAGGUAGAGUCACAGAGAGAGAGAGAGGGAGAGACAGAGAAAGAGGUCUUCCCAACCACUGGUUCACUCCACAAAUGGCCUAGAUUAUUUGAAGCCAGGAGCCUGGUGCUUCUUCCAGAUCUCCCACAUGGGUUCAGGGGCCCAAACACUUGGUCCAUCUUCUACAGCUUUCCCAGACCACUAGCAAGGAGCUGGAUCAGAAGUGGAGCCGCCAGGACUCCAACUGGUGCCCAUAUAGUAUGCCAGCACAUGCAGAAGCUUAACCUACUUUGCCAUAGCGCUGGCAUCCCAGUCUAUCUUUUUAGGCCUGCACCUCUUUGAAGUCCAUUCUGAACAGCACACCAACUGCAGAUUUGAGAUAAACUUGGGCCUGGAAUCAAAGCAACACAUCAGGUAUGGAUUCAUCGGCGUUAGAACCAAAAUAAUAGCAGUAGCCAUAGCCUUGGAGAAAGUAUGAGGUCUGCAAAAACAUAUAUUACUAACACCUGUGCAAGAAUUUCAAAUAUUUUGAAUGAAAAUAAACUUAUUUUUAAUUCCACUUUUCUAUGCAUUUUUUGAAAUAACUUCAUGAGCAGGCACUUUAGAAUUUCUGUAAAUACAGACACAAAAAAGCCAGAUUACACAGAACAGAAUAAAUACCCAAUUUUUCAAUGUGCAGCUGUUGUAUACUAAUACACAUCAAGAAUUUUCAGGAAACCAUGACCUCAGCCAACAGACCAAAUAAGGAAUCAGAACAACCAUAUAGCAAAUAAUAUGUGUUAAUUCUCAUCUAGACAAUUUAAAAAUAGCUGUUUUAAGGAAACCCAAUAAAUGUCAAGAAAACACAGAGGAGCAAUUUCUUGUUUUAUCAGAGAAAUUUAACACGCUGAAGUAAUUAUUUAAAAAAAUCAAACAAACCAUUGAGCUAAAAAGUAUACUUAGCAAAAUGAAAAAUGUGGUAGAAGGCAUCAAUAGUAGAAUAGAACAAAUAGAAGAAUCAGUGAGCUUAAAGACAGACUAUUUGAAAAUACACAGAGGAUGGGGCCGGUGCCGUGGCUCACUUGGUUAAUCCUCUGCCUGUGGUACCGGCAUCCUAUAUGGGCACCGGUUUGAGUCCUGGUUGCUCCUCUUCCAGUCCCGCUCUCUGCUGUGGCCCGGGAAGGCAGUGGAAGAUGGCCCAAGUGCUUGGGCCCCUGCACCCGCAUGGGAGACCAGGAGGAAACACCUGGCUCCUGGCUUUGGAUCGGCAUAGUUCCAGCCGUAGCGGCCAUUUGGGGAGUGAACCAACAGAAGGAAGACCUUUCUCUCUGUCUCUCUCUCACUGUCUAAUUCUAUCUGUCAAAUAAAAAAAAAAAAAAAGAAAAUACACAGAGGAGGGAUGGGAAUUUUGAAUUAGCAUUAAAAGAGCAAAUAUUCAGGUUAUCACUCUUCAAAAGGGAUGUCAGAAUGCUCACUUUCAACCAUUUGCAUUCAACAUACUACUGGAAGUUCUAGCCAGAGCAAUGAGAUAAGAGAAAGAAAUAAAGGGCAUUCAAAUUAGAAAGUAGGAAGUCAAAUUGCCACUGUUUGUGAUGACAUAAUAUUAUAUAAAUAGUAAAUCCUGAGUAUUCCAACAAAGAUCUAUUUGAAUUAGUAAGAAAAUUCAGCAAAAUAUCAAGAUACAAAAUCAACAUACAAAAAAGUAAAUCACAUUUCCAUACAAUAGUGAACUACCUGAAAAAGAAAAAAAUUAAAUCUCAUUUCCAAUAGCUACAAAAACCAAUGGAUGAAGGUCACCAAAGAGGUAAGCUAUCUCUACAAUGAAAGCUAUAAAACACUUGUGAAUUUAAAUUGAAAGAUUCACAGAUUGGAAAAAUCAAUAUUAUUAAAGUGUCCAUAGCAUCAAAAAUUAUCUACAGAUUUAAUGUCAUCUCUAUCAAAAUAUCAAUGACAUUCUUAACAGAAUUAUUUGAAAGAAUCCUAAAAUUCAUAUGGAGCUACAAAAAAUACUAAAAGGCCAAAAUAACCUUGAGUGAAAAUAACAAAGCAGGAAAAUGAUAGUACCUGGUCUCAAAAUAUACUUCAAGUAUAAACUAGCCAGGAAACCAUAACAUUGGUUAAAAACACACAUUGACCAAUGGAACAAAAUAGAGACCACAGGACUAAACCAACAUCUACAGCAACUUGAUCUUUGAGAAAAAUGCUAAGGACACACACUGAGGAGAAAUAGUAUUGGACUCAUUGAAGGUCCAAAGGCAGAAGAACGAAACUAGACCCUUAUUUCUCCCAAUUUACAAAAUCAAUGCAAAAUGAAAGACUUAGAUGUGAGACUUAAAACUAUAAAAAGGGAUAUUUAUACACUCUUGGUGAGUAAGUAAAUAAGUACAAAAUAGUAGGAACGGUCCCUAAAAAGUUACAAUAAGAAAUACCAUGUGAUCCAGUAACCCCACUACUGGGUAAAUACCCAAAGGAAUUUAAGCUAGUGUGUCAAGGAGACUUCUGGACUCCCAUGUUUGUUGCAGCACUAUUCACAACAGCCAAGAAAGGGAACCAACCUAAGUGUCCAUCAACUGAUGAAUGAAUAAAUAAAAAGUGAUAUAAGUACACAAAGGAAUACCAUUCAACUGGAAAAAUGAAAGAAAUUCUAUCAUUUGAGACAGCAGGGAUCAACUUGGAGGUCAUCAUGAUAAGAGAAACAAGUCAGGCAUAGAAGCACAAAUAACUCAUGAUCUCACUCACAUGUGGAACUUAACAAUAUUGACCUCACAGGAGUUGGGAGUAGAAUAAUGAUUACCAGAGGCUGGGGGGAGUGCAAAGGAGGGACCAAGGGAAAACACUGGUCAACAGUACUACGUAAUACCUUUGAGAAGUAAGUUCUGAUGUUCUAUAGCACAGCAGGGGGAAUUUUGAUUAAGAUAAUGUACUGUGAUUAAGAUAAUGUACUAUGUAUUUUGGAAAAGCUAGAAGAAAAUAUCUUGAAUGUUUUCAUCACAAAGAAAUGACAUGGAACUGGCAAUGUAGUGUAGUGGGUUAAGCUGUGGCCUGCCAGCCAGAAUCCCAUAUAAGUGCUGGUUGGAGCACCAUCUGCUCUGCUUCCAAUCCAGCUUCCUGAUAAUGUGCCUGGAAGAGCAGGAUAAGAUGGCCCUUGCCACACAUGUGGAAGAAACACAUGGAGUUCCAGGUUCCUGGCUUUGGCCUGCCUACCCCUAGUUGUUGCAACCUUCUGCAAUGGGAGUCCUCCUUUAGGGUGAAGACCAUGCUAGGAGUUCUACACAGAGGACGCUGCAGGAGUCCCUGCAAGAGGAAGAGAGGCGAGGCAAGCAGGUACAGGCCUUCAGUCCCCGCUGCUGCAUGGGCUCCCAGUCCACACCCAAGGCACCGUGGUUCAGCUGCUUCCUGCCUUGCCCUUGGGAAAGUGGCCUAUUGCCUUCCUAGUGCCUCCAGAGCUUCCCUGGUCUAACCAGACCAGAGAACCCUGCUCACCGGUGGCUGAACCACCAAUGAGGUAAGAACCCACUCCAAGUUAGUCCUCACUAAUCUCCCUCCCUCCGCCUUUUCCUUCUAUAUUACAUUAGUCUUUUAUUAUUGAUAAUUAUGUAUUAUAUUAAUUAUGCAUCAUAGUAAUUCCUUCUUAUAUAUUAAUUAUUCAAUGUAUAUUAAUAUAUUGAGCUUCCUCUGUUGAACAUAUCCCCUGGUUUCCAUCUUCUUUUUUCAAAGAUUUAUUUAUUUAUUUGAAAGGCAGAGUUUCAGAGAGAAAGGUAGAGAUAGAGAGAGACAGACCCUCCAUCUGCUGAUUUACUCCCCAGAUGGCCACAAUGUCCAGGACU